AUACGGAGGGCGCGAGCGUUGUUCGGAAUCACUGGGCGUAAAGCGGGUGUAGGCGGCCUGUCAAGUCAGAUGUGAAAGCCCACGGCUCAACCGUGGAAGUGCAUCUGAAACUGGCAGGCUUGAGUACCGGAGAGGGGAGUGGAAUUCCUGGUGUAGGGGUGAAAUACGUAGAUAUCAGGAGGAACACCGGUGGCGAAGGCGACUUCCUGGACGGAUACUGACGCUGAGACCCGAAAGCGUGGGGAGCAAACAGGAUUAGAUACCCUAGUAGUCC
RNAcentral lists this ribosomal RNA (274 nucleotides) under uncultured bacterium. Its description in RNAcentral is "partial 16S ribosomal RNA". It matches the Rfam family "Bacterial small subunit ribosomal RNA", at positions 523 to 796 of the family's 1533-position model. The record is from RNAcentral.